Small nuclear RNA from Crotalus tigris (Tiger rattlesnake), 116 nucleotides. RefSeq annotates it as U5 spliceosomal RNA. Lineage: Eukaryota; Metazoa; Chordata; Lepidosauria; Squamata; Viperidae. The record is from RefSeq and is a predicted model, not a curated record. The transcript has a single exon.
AAGGUCUGAUUUCUCUUCAGAUCCUAUAAAUCUUUUGCCUUUUACUCAAGAUUUCCAUGGAGAUGAACACAUAUGAGUUUAUAGCUAACUUUUCGAGACUUUCAUGCUGCAAACCA